AAGAAUAGAGCUCGUAAAAUGGGAGAGUUUGAGUAUCUUAUUGUUACUAGGAUGGAUGGAGAUUUCCCAACUCCUUUUCUUU
Molecule: transfer RNA, 82 nt
Filed under: Rhabdopleura sp. NHMO H2136
Lineage: Eukaryota; Metazoa; Hemichordata; Pterobranchia; Rhabdopleurida; Rhabdopleuridae
Description: tRNA-Asn
Source: RNAcentral